UACGUAGGUGGCAAGCGUUAUCCGGAUUUAUUGGGCGUAAAGGGAACGCAGGCGGUCUUUUAAGUCUGAUGUGAAAGCCUUCGGCUUAACCGGAGUAGUGCAUUGGAAACUGGGAGACUUGAGUGCAGGAGAGGAGAGUGGACUUCCAUGUGUAGCGGUGAAAUGCGUAGAUAUAUGGAGGAACACCGGUGGCGAAAGCGGCUCUCUGGCCUGUAACUGACACUGAGGCUCGAAAGCGUGGGGAGCAAACAGG
RNAcentral lists this ribosomal RNA (253 nucleotides) under uncultured bacterium. RNAcentral describes it as "partial 16S ribosomal RNA". It matches the Rfam family "Bacterial small subunit ribosomal RNA", at positions 524 to 776 of the family's 1533-position model. The record is from RNAcentral.